RNAcentral lists this ribosomal RNA (301 nucleotides) under uncultured bacterium. RNAcentral describes it as "partial 16S ribosomal RNA". It matches the Rfam family "Bacterial small subunit ribosomal RNA", at positions 509 to 809 of the family's 1533-position model. The record is from RNAcentral.
CAGCAGCCACGGGAAUACGUAGGUGGCAAGCGUUGUCCGGAAUUAUUGGGCGUAAAGGGUGCGUAGGCGGUUCAGUAAGUCUUGUGUGAAAGCCCCCGGCUCAACCGGGGAGGGUCAUUGGAAACUGGGAAACUUGAGUGCAGAAGAGGAGAGUGGAAUUCCACGUGUAGCGGCGAAAUGCGUAGAGAUGUGGAGGAACACCAGUGGCGAAGGCGACUCUCUGGUCUGUAACUGACGCUGAGGAGCGAAAGCGUGGGGAGCGGACAGGAUUAGAUACCCGUGUAGUCCCUGUCUCUUAUAA